CUGAGUACGGCGGAACACGUGAAAUUCCGUCGGAAUCCGGGAGGACCAUCUCCCAAGGCUAAAUACUCCCUAGUGACCGAUAGUGAACCAGUACCGUGAGGGAAAGGUGAAAAGCACCCCGGAAGGGGAGUGAAACAGUUCCUGAAACCGUGUGCCUACAAGUAGUUAGAGCCCGUUAAUGGGUGAUAGCGUGCCUUUUGUAGAAUGAACCGGCGAGUUACGAUUUGUUGCAAGGUUAAGCGGAAAAAGCGGAGCCGUAGCGAAAGCGAGUCUGAAUAGGGCGCAUAAGUAACAGGUCGUAGACCCGAAACCAGGUGAUCUACCCAUGUCCAGGAUGAAGGUAAGGUAAUACUUACUGGAGGUCCGAACCCACGCACGUUGAAAAGUGCGGGGAUGAGGUGUGGGUAGCGGAGAAAUUCCAAUCGAACUUGGAGAUAGCUGGUUCUCUCCGAAAUAGCUUUAGGGCUAGCCUCGAGGUAAAGAGUCAUGGAGGUAGAGCACUGUUUGGACUAGGGGCCCUUCUCGGGUUACCGAAUUCAGAUAAACUCCGAAUGCCAUGUACUUAUACUCGGGAGUCAGACUGCGAGUGAUAAGAUCCGUAGUCGAAAGGGAAACAGCCCAGACCACCAGUUAAGGUCCCCAAAUAUAUGUUAAGUGGAAAAGGAUGUGGGGUUGCUUAGACAACCAGGAUGUUGGCUUAGAAGCAGCCACCAUUGAAAGAGUGCGUAAUAGCUCACUGGUCGAGUGACCCCGCGCCGAAAAUGUACCGGGGCUAAACAUAUUACCGAAACUGUGGAUGAACCUCUAAAGAGGUUCAUGGUAGGAGAGCGUUCUAAGGGCGGUGAAGUCAGACCGGAAGGACUGGUGGAGCGCUUAGAAGUGAGAAUGCCGGUAUGAGUAGCGAAAGAAGGGUGAGAAUCCCUUCCACCGAAUAUCUAAGGUUUCCUGAGGAAGGCUCGUCCGCUCAGGGUUAGUCGGGACCUAAGCCGAGGCCGAUAGGCGUAGGCGAUGGACAACAGGUAGAGAUUCCUGUACCAGUGCUAAUUGUUUAACC
This 1054-nucleotide ribosomal RNA is filed under the name Listeria monocytogenes. RNAcentral describes it as "partial 23S ribosomal RNA". It matches the Rfam family "Bacterial large subunit ribosomal RNA", at positions 408 to 1463 of the family's 2925-position model. The record is from RNAcentral. Lineage: Bacteria; Bacillati; Bacillota; Bacilli; Caryophanales; Listeriaceae.